AGAAGAGUGUUUUUCCCCCUUUCUUGGUGUUGAAACUUAGAGGGCUAGAAGAUAUGAGUCAGCAAGCAUAAGUGAUCAAUAUCUGACUGUCACAGCACUGGCAACUCAGGAGAGUACUCAGAAGGCCCUCUUUAAAGUGAGGAAUGAAGGAGAAAGUUAUCAACUAUUCCUUACUGAGGCCCUUCCUUUUCCGAGGAGAUAAGAAUUGAGGUUGCUGCAGAUGCGUAUGGAUUCACCACCGGUAACAAGACCAGCAUGACAGAAGCCCACAAUGGAUACAGAACAACUGAAGGAGGAUGUUAAUUUCAGAGAGUAUAACUAGAGUUCACACAACAUGAUUCAAAUUAGCCAACUAAAGAAAGAUUCUACAGGAAUAAACACUUAAACAAAUCAAAGAGCCUAAUGUGUCUGCUCAGGAAUUAAUUAUUAAAUGGUUACUAGGCAACAAGCAUAAAUACCUUUAAAGGAAAAUCUCAUUCAGUCCACUCCUAGCAGCACUAUGAGGUAACAAUUCUCAUUUAUAGGUGAGGAAAUUGAGACUUGAGGAACCUCUGUGACAUGUCCAAAAGCUCGUGGCUCUUAGAAGUUGACAGACUUUUAGAAUCGUUUUAAAAUUAAAUUGGUGGGAAUGUAAAACAGUGCAGCCAAUGUGGAAAACAUUAAAAAUAGAAUUGCCAUAUGAUCCAGCAAUUAUACUUUUAGGUAUAUACCCCCAAAAUUGAAAGCAGGGUAUAGAAGAGAUAUGGACACAGCUGUGCUCACAGCAGCGCCCACCAAAGCUAAAAGGUGAAACAACCCGUGUGUCCACUGAUGGAUGCGUGGAUAAGCAAAAUGUACUGUAUACAGACACGGAAUAUUAUUCAGCCUUAAAAACAAAGGGAUGCAGGAAUGCAUGCAGGAAACUGAGGACAUUAUGUUAAUCGCAUAAACGACGAAUAAUCUGUGAUUCCACUUAUAUGAGGCCCCUGUAGUAGCCAAAUACAUAGCUAGAGAAGGUAGCAUGAUGAUUGCUAGAGGCUGGAGUUGGGUAAAGUAGGGAGUUAUUUAAUGGGUACAGAGUGUCAGUUUCACAGGAUGAGAAGAGCUUUGGAGAAUAGAUGCACAGCAGUGUAGAUAUGCUUAACACUACUGAACUAUACACUUAAAGCCAAUUGAGAUGGUUAAUUCUCUGUUAUGUUUAUUUUGCUACAGUUUUAAAAAACUUGACACAAGUACCUGAGUCCGUAUUAGGUGACCCAUAAAUGGUACCAUUCUUGUUGUUGUCUACCAGUUUCUUUUUAGUAUGGUUAAUUUUAUUCAGGUCCUAGAAUCUGGUGGAAUUGAGUGAAAUAACUAACUUGAGUUUCUGAACCUUCACUCAUGAAUGCUUCAAUAAAUUGUUAUUGUUUAUGAA
Molecule: non-coding RNA, 1393 nt
Organism: Macaca mulatta (Rhesus monkey)
Lineage: Eukaryota; Metazoa; Chordata; Mammalia; Primates; Cercopithecidae
Source: RefSeq, a predicted model, not a curated record